GGUCCCGCAAGGGAUGCUGGCGACCGGCAAACGGGUGCGGAACACGUACACAACCUUCCUUUAAGUGGGGAAUAGCCCGGGGAAACCCGGAUUAAUACCCCGUAAUAUUAUGAAAUGGCAUCAUUUUAUAAUUAUAGCUCCGGCGCUUAAUGAUGGGUGUGCGGCUGAUUAGAUAGUUGGCGGGGUAACGGCCCACCAAGUCUGCGAUCAGUAACUGGUGUGAGAGCACGACCAGUCACACGGGCACUGAGACACGGGCCCGACUCCUACGGGAGGCAGCAGUAAGGAAUAUUGGUCAAUGGACGCAAGUCUGAACCAGCCAUGCCGCGUGGAGGAUGAAGGUCCUCUGGAUUGUAAACUUCUUUUAUUUGGGACGAAAAAGGAUCUUUCCAGAUCAACUGACGGUACCAGAUGAAUAAGCACCGGCUAACUCCGUGCCAGCAGCCGCGGUAAUACGGAGGGUGCAAGCGUUAUCCGGAUUCACUGGGUUUAAAGGGUGCGUAGGUGGGCAGGUAAGUCAGUGGUGAAAUCCCCGAGCUUAACUUGGGAACUGCCAUUGAUACUAUUUGUCUUGAAUACUGUGGAGGUUAGCGGAAUAUGUCAUGUAGCGGUGAAAUGCUUAGAUAUGACAUAGAACACCAAUUGCGAAGGCAGCUGGCUACACAAAUAUUGACACUGAUGCACGAAAGCGUGGGGAUCAAACAGGAUUAGAUACCCUGGUAGUCCACGCCCUAAACGAUGGAUACUCGACAUUUGCGAUACACUGCAAGUGUCUUAGCGAAAGCAUUAAGUAUCCCACCUGGGAAGUACGAUCGCAAGAUUGAAACUC
This 829-nucleotide ribosomal RNA is filed under the name uncultured Sphingobacteriales cum 'Crenotrichaceae' bacterium. RNAcentral describes it as "bacterial SSU rRNA". It matches the Rfam family "Bacterial small subunit ribosomal RNA", at positions 73 to 902 of the family's 1533-position model. Lineage: Bacteria; Pseudomonadati; Bacteroidota; Sphingobacteriia; Sphingobacteriales. The record is from RNAcentral.